GUGCCCGUAGCUCAACUGGAUAGAGCGCUGCCCUCCGAAGGCAGAGGUUACAGGUUCAACUCCUGUCGGGCAUGCCA
Molecule: transfer RNA, 77 nt
Filed under: Phycisphaeraceae bacterium
Lineage: Bacteria; Pseudomonadati; Planctomycetota; Phycisphaerae; Phycisphaerales; Phycisphaeraceae
Description: tRNA-Arg
Rfam family: tRNA
About the family: Transfer RNA (tRNA) molecules are approximately 80 nucleotides in length. Their secondary structure includes four short double-helical elements and three loops (D, anti-codon, and T loops). Further hydrogen bonds mediate the characteristic L-shaped molecular structure. tRNAs have two regions of fundamental functional importance: the anti-codon, which is responsible for specific mRNA codon recognition, and the 3' end, to which the tRNAs corresponding amino acid is attached (by aminoacyl-tRNA synthetases). tRNAs cope with the degeneracy of the genetic code in two manners: having more than one tRNA (with a specific anti-codon) for a particular amino acid; and 'wobble' base-pairing, i.e. permitting non-standard base-pairing at the 3rd anti-codon position.
Source: RNAcentral